This 728-nucleotide ribosomal RNA is filed under the name Lactobacillus sp. C-1. RNAcentral describes it as "bacterial SSU rRNA". It matches the Rfam family "Bacterial small subunit ribosomal RNA", at positions 72 to 787 of the family's 1533-position model. The record is from RNAcentral. Lineage: Bacteria; Bacillati; Bacillota; Bacilli; Lactobacillales; Lactobacillaceae.
UGCAUUCACCGAAAGAAGCUUAGUGGCGAACGGGUGAGUAACACGUAGGCAACCUGCCCAAAAGAGGGGGAUAACACUUGGAAACAGGUGCUAAUACCGCAUAACCAUGAACACCGCAUGAUGUUCAUGUAAAAGACGGCUUUUGCUGUCACUUUUGGAUGGGCCUGCGGCGUAUUAACUUGUUGGUGGGGUAACGGCCUACCAAGGUGAUGAUACGUAGCCGAACUGAGAGGUUGAUCGGCCACAUUGGGACUGAGACACGGCCCAAACUCCUACGGGAGGCAGCAGUAGGGAAUCUUCCACAAUGGACGAAAGUCUGAUGGAGCAACGCCGCGUGAAUGAAGAAGGCCUUCGGGUCGUAAAAUUCUGUUGUCAGAGAAGAACGUGCGUGAGAGUAACUGUUCACGUAUUGACGGUAUCUGACCAGAAAGCCACGGCUAACUACGUGCCAGCAGCCGCGGUAAUACGUAGGUGGCAAGCGUUGUCCGGAUUUAUUGGGCGUAAAGGGAACGCAGGCGGUCUUUUAAGUCUGAUGUGAAAGCCUUCGGCUUAACCGAAGUAGUGCAUUGGAAACUGGAAGACUUGAGUGCAGAAGAGGAGAGUGGAACUCCAUGUGUAGCGGUGAAAUGCGUAGAUAUAUGGAAGAACACCAGUGGCGAAAGCGGCUCUCUGGUCUGUAACUGACGCUGAGGUUCGAAAGCGUGGGUAGCAAACAGGAUUAGAUACCC